This is a long non-coding RNA of Orbicella faveolata, 734 nucleotides long. The record is from RefSeq and is a predicted model, not a curated record. NCBI's taxonomy places the organism in Eukaryota, Metazoa, Cnidaria, Anthozoa, Scleractinia, Merulinidae.
AAAUAUUUUGUUUCCUCUAGGGUAACACCAUCUAUGUAAAAGGUUUUGGACUAACAGAAAAAAUCCUUCAGGAAUCAUUUACUAAAUAUGGUAAAGUGCAAAAAGUCAACUUUGAAAAGGACAAGAGCCAAGGCUUUGUAACGUUUGAUUCCUGUGAAGCAGCGGAAAAAGCAAUUGAUGAGAUGAACGGCAUGCUGGUUCUUGGUGUGCAUAUCAAAGUGGCUCUUUCAAGAAGACAACCAAACAUGGGAGAUACACAAGGGCAUCAUCGAAGACCCGGAUUAGGAAGUAGAGAUUCUAGAGGGCACAGUGCAGGCCUUCAGUCACAGGAGGCAAGGGAAAUUGUUUCGUAUGAUGACCUGUAGAUUACGACACGCCGUGAAGAAAAUUCAUCGGACAAAGACGAGAUUUGUUACAGAGCUAACACAAUUUGCCGAAGAGGUUCCUUCAAUGUAUACAGAUUAAUGUUUUUUUGUCAAUUAUUAUUUGUUUGGUAGAUUGUAUAAGAAACAUAAUGUAUCAAGUGCAAAGAGCUGGCUAUAAGGCUACCACUCUUCCUGAAAUGUAAACUACAGUUAGACAUGUGUAUAAAGUCAGCAGAAGUUAAUUUGGAAUUGGAAAUUAUAUAAAGAGUUUAUCAGAGUAGAAACCGUAUGUGGCUGCUUCAAGAGACCCGUUCAAACUUAGUGCCGAGUACGUGUAUGUAUAAGACUAAUAAAUAUUCCAGUCUGAAA